Molecule: long non-coding RNA, 259 nt
Filed under: Ananas comosus (pineapple)
Lineage: Eukaryota; Viridiplantae; Streptophyta; Magnoliopsida; Poales; Bromeliaceae
Description: long non-coding RNA (ACOM_LNC001334)
Source: RNAcentral
AUAUCGAUAUGAUUUUAUAGUGUAAAAAAUUUUCUGUCAUAAUUUCACGUGAUUUUAAUAUUUGUACACAGCUAAACUGGCAAACGGCUUACCCCACGAUCAUUCAAAUUGUUGAUUUUGGGCCCCUUCAAUCACAAGAUAAACGGUAUCAAAAAAUCACAAAAUUUAUUUUCUAGAUACUUCAAAUAGUGUAGUAUAUAUCAAAAACAAUUUGAUAGUACAGAGGCUACCGUGCUUCUAAAAGUACACUAGCCUAUAU